CUACGGGAGGCUCCAGUGAGGAAUAUUGCACAAUGGGGGGAACCCUGAUGCAGCAACGCCGCGUGGAGGAUGACGCAUUUCGGUGUGUAAACUCCUUUUAUAUGUCAAGAAAAUGACGGUAGCAUAUGAAUAAGCACCGGCUAACUCCGUGCGCAGCAGCCGCGGUAAUACGGAGGGUGCAAGCGUUACUCGGAAUCACUGGGCGUAAAGGACGCGUAGGCGGGCUUGUAAGUCAGGUGUGAAAUCCUACAGCUUAACUGUAGAACUGCACUUGAAACUACGAGCCUAGAGUAUGGGAGGGGGAGAUGGAAUUAGUGGUGUAGGGGUAAAAUCCGUAGAUAUCACUAGGAAUACCUAAAGCGAAGGCGAUCUCCUGGAACAUAACUGACGCUAAGGCGUGAAAGCGUGGGGAGCAAACAGGAUUAGAUACCAUCGUAGUC
RNAcentral lists this ribosomal RNA (440 nucleotides) under uncultured bacterium. RNAcentral describes it as "partial 16S ribosomal RNA". It matches the Rfam family "Bacterial small subunit ribosomal RNA", at positions 339 to 795 of the family's 1533-position model. The record is from RNAcentral.